GACGAACGCUGGCGGCGUGCUUAACACAUGCAAGUCGAACGGAAAGGCCCUGCUUUUGUGGGGUGCUCGAGUGGCGAACGGGUGAGUAACACGUGAGUAACCUGCCCUUGACUUUGGGAUAACUUCAGGAAACUGGGGCUAAUACCGGUUAGGAGCUCCUGCUGCAUGGUGGGGGUUGGAAAGUUUCGGCGGUUGGGGAUGGACUCGCGGCUUAUCAGCUUGUUGGUGGGGUAGUGGCUUACCAAGGCUUUGACGGGUAGCCGGCCUGAGAGGGUGACCGGCCUCAUUGGGACUACGAUACGGCCCAGACUCCUACGGGAGGCAACAGUGGGGAAUAUUGCACAAUGGGCGGAAGCCUGAUGCAGCAACGCCGCGUGCGGGAUGACGGCCUUCGGGUUGUAAACCGCUUUCGCCUGUGACGAAGCGUGAGUGACGGUAAUGGGUAAAGAAGCACCGGCUAACUACGUG
This 468-nucleotide ribosomal RNA is filed under the name uncultured bacterium. RNAcentral describes it as "partial 16S ribosomal RNA". It matches the Rfam family "Bacterial small subunit ribosomal RNA", at positions 28 to 507 of the family's 1533-position model. The record is from RNAcentral.